Nicotiana tabacum (common tobacco) is the source of this 837-nucleotide long non-coding RNA. RefSeq lists it as uncharacterized. NCBI's taxonomy places the organism in Eukaryota, Viridiplantae, Streptophyta, Magnoliopsida, Solanales, Solanaceae. The record is from RefSeq and is a predicted model, not a curated record.
AGAAUUAUGGAAAAGGUAGAGAGAUGGAAAAGGAUGAAACAUUUUGAUACAUAUAUAAAUUGUCUUCUUUUUCUUUAUGCCAAAAGAAUUAGUAGCAGAUGCAUAUCAAAGUAAAAGGAGCAAAGGAAGACGAGCAAGACUAUCAAAGAUAUGUGUAGAAAGACGUGAAAGGGAGGAGUAAAAGAAAAGAAGGAAAAGAUCUCCUAACAACUCAAGCGAAGGAAGAAAAGAAAGUAAGAUCCAAAAUUAAAGGAGUUCAAGACUACUAAGAAUUCGCCUAUCAUAACCACCGAAGAACUUAAGAUACGCAUCUAAAAGGAAAGCUGUUAAACUCCGAAAUCAAAGGACUAAUCAAAAGUUGUUCGUUGAAGUGGGAUUCACUCGCAGAUGGAAAGUUCUAUCAAGCCCGCCGGUCAAGAUUCAAAUCAAGGAGGCUCCACACUUAUUCUUGGAAGGAAUCAAUUAUGAUUCACUUCCAAGGAUCAAUACCCUUAGGACUGCAAUCUCUCAAGAUCUACCACAGUUAAAUCAAAGCAGAUCUCUCAAGGUGUAUAUAUAUUACACAACGGCAAAGAGGAGCAGCAUACUUUGAUCAAACCAAUUUCGUGCUCAUUGUUCUACUCUAAAUAAGCAUGGUAAUCUAAGUAUGAUUUACUGUGUAACCAGUAUAGAGAAAAAAUAGAGAAAAAUAUUGGUGAGACAUUGUAUCAAAUUACAUCGAGUGUACUUAGAACCAAAACGGCAGUUGGUAUUCGUGAUAACAUCAACAUACUUGUACAAAGUUUUAAAAUAGCUUUGAAGAGAGAAACCUCUUGUAACCCAAGGGGACUAGAGUAG